CAAGUCCGUCGGGAAAUCCAUCGGCUCAACCGAUGGGCGUCCGGCGGAAACUGCGUGGCUUGGGACCGGAAGGCUCGAGGGGUACGUCCGGGGUAGGAGUGAAAUCCCGUAAUCCUGGACGGACCACCGAUGGCGAAAGCACCUCGAGAAGACGGAUCCGACAGUGAGGGACGAAAGCUGGGGUCUCGAACCGGAUUAGAUACCCGGGUAGUCCCAGCCGUAAACGAUGCCAGUUAGGUGUGGCACAGGCUACGAGCCUGUGCUGUGCCGUAGGGAAGCCGUGAAACUGGCCGCCUGGGAAGUACGUCCGCAAGGAUGAAACUUAAAGGAAUUGGCGGGGGAGCACUACAACCGAAGGAGCCUGCGGUUUAAUUGGACUCAACGCCGGACAUUUCACCAGCUCCGACUACAGUGAUGACGGUCAGGUUGAUGACCUCCACGACGCUGUAGAGAGGAGGUGCAUGGCCGCCGUCAGCUCGUACCGUGAGGCGUCCUGUUAAGUCAGGCAACGAGCGAGACCCGCACACUUAAUUGCCAGCAUCAGGUUUCCUGGAUGGGUACAUUAAGUGGACUGCCGCUGCUAAAGCGGAGGAAGGAACGGGCAACGGUAGGUCUGUAUGCCCCGAAUGAGCUGGGCUACACGCGGGCUACAAUGGCCAAGACAAUGGGUUCCAACCUCGAAAGAGGACGGUAAUCUCCGAAACUUGGUCGUAGUUCGGAUUGUGGGCUGAAACUCGCCCACAUGAAGCUGGAUUCGGUA
RNAcentral lists this ribosomal RNA (760 nucleotides) under uncultured Halobacteria archaeon. Its description in RNAcentral is "bacterial SSU rRNA". It matches the Rfam family "Archaeal small subunit ribosomal RNA", at positions 534 to 1293 of the family's 1478-position model. The record is from RNAcentral. Lineage: Archaea; Methanobacteriati; Methanobacteriota; Halobacteria.